This 860-nucleotide ribosomal RNA is filed under the name uncultured Flavobacteriaceae bacterium. Its description in RNAcentral is "bacterial SSU rRNA". It matches the Rfam family "Bacterial small subunit ribosomal RNA", at positions 32 to 884 of the family's 1533-position model. Lineage: Bacteria; Pseudomonadati; Bacteroidota; Flavobacteriia; Flavobacteriales; Flavobacteriaceae. The record is from RNAcentral.
GACGCUAGCGGCAGGCCUUAUACAUGCAAGUCGGACGGUAACAUUGGUGCUUGCACCAGAUGACGAGUGGCGCACGGGUGCGUAACGCGUAUGCAACCUACCUUUUACUAGAGUAUAGCCCAGAGAAAUUUGGAUUAAUCCUCUAUAAUAUCUAUUAAUCUCAUGAUUUUUAGAUUAAAGUUUUAACGGUAAAAGAUGGGCAUGCGUCUUAUUAGUUUGUAGGUGAGGUAAUGGCUCACCUAGACUACGAUAGGUAGGGGCCCUGAGAGGGGGAUCCCCCACACUGGUACUGAGACACGGACCAGACUCCUACGGGAGGCAGCAGUAAGGAAUAUUGGACAAUGGACGAAAGUCUGAUCCAGCCAUGCCGCGUGCAGGAUGACAGCCCUAUGGGUUGUAAACUGCUUUUAUACAGGAAGAAACACUCCGACGUGUCGGAGCUUGACGGUACUGUAAGAAUAAGGAUCGGCUAACUCCGUGCCAGCAGCCGCGGUAAUACGGAGGAUCCAAGCGUUAUCCGGAAUUAUUGGGUUUAAAGGGUCCGCAGGCGGUCUUUUAAGUCAGAGGUGAAAGCCUACAGCUCAACUGUAGAAUGGCCUUUGAUACUGAAAGACUUGAGUUAUUGUGAAGUGGUUAGAAUGUGUGGUGUAGCGGUGAAAUGCAUAGAUAUCACACAGAAUACCGAUUGCGAAGGCAGAUCACUAACAAUAUACUGACGCUCAUGGACGAAAGCGUGGGGAGCGAACAGGAUUAGAUACCCUGGUAGUCCACGCCGUAAACGAUGGAUACUAGCUGUUCGUCUAACAUUGGUUAGAUGAGUGGCUAAGCGAAAGUGAUAAGUAUCCCACCUGGGGAGUACG